Molecule: long non-coding RNA, 1114 nt
Filed under: Fukomys damarensis (Damara mole-rat)
Lineage: Eukaryota; Metazoa; Chordata; Mammalia; Rodentia; Bathyergidae
Description: lncRNA (ENSFDAG00000024603.1)
Source: RNAcentral
CAAAUAGAUAUUAUGAGAAAGUGGUGCUUUAUCAAAAUAAAAUUACUCUUUUCAAUUCAAGAAAAAGAGAAAUUAAAAACAACGUUUGGGGGCAUGAAGAAAGGCAGACACCCUACCUCAAAGGACCUUUCCAGCGGUGAUACAAAUUACUCAUUUUCUUGGACUUGAUACAAAAAGGUGUCAGAACAAAAGGAGAAAUGCGAUCAAAGAGCAAAGCACAUUACUCAUCAUCUGCCAGCCUUGAAGUAACUGGGGAUUCUGAUCAUCCCUCAUCCCCAAGAGCCUUGUAGGAGGUGCGGGUAACCAGACUAUCACAUGCUUCGAUGUUCUCAUUCACAGACUCACCUUCCUUUGUGGGGUCCUGCAAGAGUUCUCAGUGGUGGUACUGUGAAUCUCAAUCCAUUGCAGAGUGCCUGUAGUUAUCUGUUGCUAAUAAAGUACUGAACUUUUCAAAUGACUUACUUUAAAAAGCUGAUUCACUAUUAUUUCUAAAAUACAAAAGGCCAAUAAAGUCCAGACUUCAGCUUGCGGGGACUGCUGCUGUCCCUGGUGCUGAAUAAGGGGCAGUCUGGAAUACAACAGAAGGAAUACAUUACUAUAGAGGGUGCCCUCCGGGUUAGAAUCUGGUAAGGGCCCUAUUCCCGGCUUGAAGAUGGCAAGUUUUUCAUCAUGUCCUUUCAGGGCUUUCUGUGUGCCCUCCAAGAGAGGGUAUUCUCGUAUCUUCUUCUGUCCUUAUAAAGAAGUCAGUCUUACCAGAUUAGGCUCUACACCAUGACUUUCUUUAAUCUUAAUUACCCCCCAAAAGGACACAUCUCCAAAUACUGUCGCAUUGGAGAUUAGGGACUGAACACAUAAAGUCUGAGAGGGACACAAUUAAGUUCACAAGACACAUUAAGUGAGAGAACCAAAGAGAGGCCUGCUCCCACUCACUCUGCUAUGAAUAAUUUAAGUGAAAGUGGAUUGAGAAUUACUGUUUCAGGCAAAAAGCUGUUUAAAAGCAUAUUAUUUCAUUAUUACAGAAUCAUCUACCCACUCAAAAAGAGCUUCACUGAGGCUUAGACCUCCUUUCUGUGAAAAAUCAUGUCUGCUCACUGCCACUGUGCAUCCAACUGGU